This 497-nucleotide ribosomal RNA is filed under the name uncultured bacterium. Its description in RNAcentral is "partial 16S ribosomal RNA". It matches the Rfam family "Bacterial small subunit ribosomal RNA", at positions 28 to 507 of the family's 1533-position model. The record is from RNAcentral.
GAUGAACGCUGGCGGCGUGCCUAAUACAUGCAAGUCGAGCGAACGGACGAGAAGCUUGCUUCUCUGAUGUUAGCGGCGGACGGGUGAGUAACACGUGGAUAACCUACCUAUAAGACUGGGAUAACUUCGGGAAACCGGCGCUAAUACCGGCUAAUCUUUUGAACCGCAUGGUUCAAAAGUGAAAGACGGUCUUGCUGUCACUUCUAGAUGGAUCCGCGCUGCAUUAGCUAGUUGGUAAGGUAACGGCUUACCAAGGCAACGAUGCAUAGCCGACCUGAGAGGGUGAUCGGCCACACUGGAACUGAGACACGGUCCAGACGCCUACGGGAGGCAGCAGUAGGGAAUCUUCCGCAAUGGGCGAAAGCCUGACGGAGCAAAGCCGCGUGAGUGAUGAAGGUCUUCGGAUCGUAAAACUCUGUUAUUAGGGAAGAACAUAUGUGUAAGUAACUGUGCACAUCUUGACGGUACCUAAUCAGAAAGCCACGGCUAACUACGUG